Long non-coding RNA from Oreochromis aureus, 1073 nucleotides. NCBI's taxonomy places the organism in Eukaryota, Metazoa, Chordata, Actinopteri, Cichliformes, Cichlidae. The record is from Ensembl.
CACUAAUAAAAGUAUAGCUGAUUAUUAUUUUAACCACUAAGAUCGUCCAGCCAGAUGCUUUUAGUACAGCUGAGGUCGUCUUUAAAGCACAGAGGAGAUCGGUCUGUUGCAGUAGCAGCACCCAGACUCUGGAAUAACUUACCACUCGAUAUUCGUAUUUCAGAGUUUAUACAGUGUCUCAAACUGCGUCUUAAAACUCACUUUUUUACGUUAGUUUUUAAUCCAAGUUCAAUUUGAGUACCAUCAGGUUUGUUUUGUUUUUAUGUUAAAUAUGUUGUUGUUGCCUCAUCUCAUGUCUUCUUUUUCUAUUGUUCAUAACUAAUUGUGAAGUACUUUGGUAACUUUGUUGCUUUUAAAUGUGCUAUAGAAAUAAAAUUGAUAUUUUUAUUAAUAUAUAUUCGACUAUUAAAAACGAUAUUCAACAUGCUACGAUGUCAUUUGAAGGCGUGUAAAUUCCAGUGUUAACUGUAAAACUACAGAGUGCCCGUUCUUAUUUAGAAGCUGUACAGAAGCCACGGUGAAGCCUGUCCUACAGCAGCUGUCAGAGGAGCUGAGCAGGCAGAAACUGGACCCACCGGGGACCGGUGCAGUUUGGGUCAGCUGGCAACGAUGGCAGAUGAAGAUCUGAUUCCUGGUUGCUGAAACUAGUUUUGGGUACUUUGUGAUGUUCCCCCUCUGGCAGGUCCAGACUCUCGUCUGUGCUCUGAACAACAUUUCAGAGUGCCUGGCCUUCUUGAGGUCUCUGAGCAGGAUCCUGGACGCUGCAUCAUCUGGUCUGCAGCAGUAUGUUCUGGACACUCUGGUGAAGAGAGGAGCUGAGCUGUCAUCUGAUCACCAUCUGGGGCUCUGUGGACUUGAGUUACCUGAAACCUGAAGGAUUCUCUCAUUGUCUGCUGCAACCUAAGUCCAGGCUGAAAACCAGAGGUGAUCGUGCCUUUGCUAUUGCAGCUCCUCAACUGUGGAACAAUCUCCUUAUUGCCAUUCGCUCUUCUGAGUCUAUUCAGUCUUUUAAAUCUCGUUUAAAGACUCAUCUUUUUACUCUGGAUCUGACUUAAGAUAGUUUGACUAUCAUU